Pan paniscus (pygmy chimpanzee) is the source of this 1537-nucleotide long non-coding RNA. The record is from Ensembl. Lineage: Eukaryota; Metazoa; Chordata; Mammalia; Primates; Hominidae.
GUGAGAAUUAAGUAAGAUCAUAUAUGCAAAGUGCAUGGCACACAGUAGUCAUUUAAUACACGGUAGUUUUAAAAGCAUUUUCCUCAGAGAAUGGGGACAAGAGCUAGUACUGUCCUGUUACAAGAUACAUUAGAAAUCUUUAAUAGCUCCAGAAUAAAAGAUAUCAAAGGCACUUUACCUUAGUGGUGAGCAGAGAGGGAACCAAGUUCUCUGGAGGAACAUUAGUCCUUUUGUUAAAAUUUUAUCUGGCCUUUAAUUGGUCUAGUCUUUAUUUUAUAUACAGUUGGCCAGAACCCCAGCUAGCAUUUGUUUAACCCAUUGUAAGUAGAUUGGCAAUAAAGAUUAGCAAGGAUAAUGGCCAUAAUGAUAACGAUUGCUGAUAACCCUCAGCUCUCACUUUCUACCCUAAAAAUCUUUCUGCAGCCGGGCUCAGACUCCCUGGUUUUCCGUUUAUUGCCCCAGCUGUGGUUGCAUGGAACAAACCAGGGACUAGGAGCAAACUAAAGAUUUAUUCAUGGCGGAAGUCACAGGAUGAACUAGAAAGGGCUCCGAGCAUCCUGGGGCUGACUCAAUCUUUGAAUCUUCUCUGAAAUAUUGUUUAUAAACAAGGGCCCAGUCCAAGAGAAGUACAGCGAGAGCACAAACCAAAUAUUCUAAACUGGAAUUGGGAAGGGAAAUUGAGCAUACUUUGCAGGACCGGUAUUCCUGCCCCAGUGAUCCCUUGAGUUCUUCAUGCACCAGUGACUAUGGGAAUCAGUGAGCUCUUACACUUCAAACAAGCACCUUUUAAAGAAAUAGUGAUGGUGGGAGGAGAAACUGAGACUCGGUUGUCCUUAAUCAGAGGAAAUCUUUCUCACAAGAAAGCUUGCUUUUGGGCUAAGAAAUGCUUUGUAACCAGCCAUGCUACUAAAAAGUCUGAAGUAGUUUCCAAAACUGAGUUCCCAGACUCACACAGUAAUAAUGAUACAUUUAUCAUUACUGAUGACCACCUACUGGAAGUACUUACGUCCUGGUUCAGAAAUGGAAAACCAUAUCAUAACAGAGUGGAAGGCUGGGUGAGCGCUUGGUUCUCACCCUCUCUUGAGAAUGAAAACAGUAUUCUGAGGAUUUCUGGAGCAAAAUUUUCCAGCUCAGAGUUGCAAAAGGUUAACAUAAUGCAGCCACUUGACUUGUGCUAAUUAUGCUACACCAGUAUGUCCAGGACCUCUCCAUAAACAUAAGCAGAGUGGCCAUUAGGAGCAUGCGGAUGGGGCUUCAUCUUCUGCUUUGCCGACAGCACAAGGUCAGGUUGAAAAUGGGCUCUGCUGCACAGUCCAUGGUGGAAUCCAACAGGACCACACCAAUGACCAGCAAAUCUGCAUGCUUACCCAUGUGUCUGCACCCAUCCUCCUCCAGUGGAAGACACAUCCAACCCAUCAAAUGAGCGCAACUCAGCCUCUUGCUUUUCAGGGCCUCAUUCAUUUGUUCCCCACUGCCCAUCUCCCUCUUUCUGCACACCCUCACAUUCUCCUCUCCCUCUACUGGUUCCUUCUCACCC